Molecule: ribosomal RNA, 426 nt
Filed under: uncultured bacterium
Lineage: Bacteria
Description: bacterial SSU rRNA
Rfam family: Bacterial small subunit ribosomal RNA
Source: RNAcentral
GAAUCCUGAUGCAGCGACGCCGCGUGGGUGAUGAGGCCUUCGGGUUGUAAAGCCCUUUCGGCCGGGAAGAUUAUGCCGGUGCCUGCUGAAUCAUCUGCGUGUAACUUCCUGUCACCGACCGCGCGCUUACGUCCGCGGCAGCAGUUGUUCGGAGUCACUGGGUGUAAAGGUUAUUUGGGCGUAUUGGUAUUUUAGGGGUUGCAUCCGCUCGGUCAACCCGGAUGUGAAACCCCCGGCUUUACCCCCGGAUUGCCUUUGGAACUGGGAUGCUUUAAGUUCGGGAGAGGAAAUCGGAAUUUCGGUGGAAGAGUGAAAUUUCUGAAAAUUCCGAAGAAACACCGGGGGGAAGGGCGGCUUCCUGGACCGAAACUGACCUUAAGAUCAAAAACCCUGGGAAUCAAACAGAUUUAAUUACCAGGGAAUCAA